Long non-coding RNA from Vitis vinifera (wine grape), 2124 nucleotides. RefSeq lists it as uncharacterized. The record is from RefSeq and is a predicted model, not a curated record. The transcript has 3 exons. Lineage: Eukaryota; Viridiplantae; Streptophyta; Magnoliopsida; Vitales; Vitaceae.
UCAAUGACUAGAAUGAUACAUGUCUCAGUAUGGAGUAGUACAGGCAUGAACAAAAGAAUAGUAUAGAUUUAUUUCAACUGAAUUAGGGAAGAACAACAUGACAAAUAAUGGAUGUUUAUACUUUAUAAUCUGUUGGAGGAGGGCUUUGUGCCAAAUGCCAGUUUUAUACCCUUCUGAUAGAUCACUUCUUAAAGGAGGGGGAGAGCUUGAAUUUGCUUAUAGAUUUGUUGAUUUGAUGGAAAGAAAACAGAUUGAAUGUGAUAUGAUAAUGUAUAUUGCAUUGGUCACCCCUGAGAGGAAGCUGGUGUUCUGUGAAUUGUGGGUCUGAAAGGGCAAGACCCCAGGGAAAACAAUAAUUCAUUGUAAUUCUCACAAACUACUUCAUGGGUCAUAAGGGUCACAUUUAAUGCAUAAUGGGUGUUUUUCUCAAGUCUGGUCUCUUGUGAAAACAACUGAAAUGUCUUUAGAGCAUUCUUGCCUUCAAAGUAUUUGAAGAAAUGUUUGCCAAUGAUUUUGUACUUAAGUGCUUUGCUUAUAUAGAGUAAUUGCUUACUUUGCAUCUUAAGUGGAGAGGAUCGGAUGUAUGAAGCUCAUAUACUAAUUGAUGAGGUGCUUGGGAUAUGAGAAUAUCAAGAUGAAAUGGCAAAGACUGUUAUGGUGGAAGCAUGGGCUGGGAAAAAAUUGCUGGAUCGAGAAAAUUAUCAUUGCUGGGUAGUUGCAUAACAUUAUCGUAUAUAGUGCAGUACAUCUGGAGCUUGGCAGUAAGGGACUUUUCUUAUGGCCAUGAUCAUUGGGUGUUGAAAAUUAGCCACGUGGACUAUUUAUGUCAGUAAAUUUCCCAGGGAAGAUUGAAGUUUAGACACUCUUUUCUGGAUGAUGACCAAGGGGUUCUUCAGUGUGCAGCAGUCUUUUUUCAAAUAAUGAGAGGAUCAUAAAGAGAAGUGAAAGCAAAAAAGCGCCUUUUUUCCCCUUGUAUUCUGAGGAUAAACAUUCACAAAUAGAUGGAUCGAUACACGCAAAUGGGAGAUGCUGUCAAGAAUGAAACAAGAAGAUGAUGAUAGUUGCAAUGUGGUGUAUAGAGCUGAAGACCGAGGACCAUCCUUCAAUAUCAAAGGCUUCAAGAUGAUCAAAGGGGAUGUUAAAUGCUUGAAAAUCCCAACCAGGCCUUCUUUAUGUUCUCUGGAAACAUCAUUGAAGAUCAUAAGAAGAAUUCCAAUGGGGAUAAUGAUUUCAUCACAUGAUGCCAUGGACACAAUAAUCUUAGAAAGAAGGUAAUGUUACUCUAUAUCUAUGUUCAUGCUCUGUAAUAGUAUAUUUGUAUGUAUAUAUAUAUAAUGCACAUACAUCAGUCUAAUGUGCUGUCUUGAUGCACUUGCUUGACAUCCUAGAAAUAAGAAUCUAUAGAUAUAACAAUAAAGCAUUAAUCCAGGUGUUUGAAUUACCUUCUCCUUUGCUCUUGAAAAUUUGGAAUAAGUCUUUCCAUUUCCCUUCAGACUAGUUCCAUUUCUUUGCAGAUUCUAGAGAUAUAAUUAUUUGGUUUGCAGGGAAUUGAGUAGUCUAGUUUGUUAUGUCUCUAUUGCUAGCAAGGCUGGCUGUUCCAAUAUUAAUGAUGCCCCUAAAUAACAGCCUCAAUGCACAGAGUGAUCCAAAAACUUUGAGGGUGAAUGAAAACAGAGAUUCAAAAGCCACAUUUGGGUUGAGGGUAACAGAGAAAGUUAAAGGCUGCAUUCUAAUCUCGAGAGAGGGAUGGCUGCAUUUUAAUCUUGAGAGAGGGAUCAGAGGAAAGCAGAUGCAACAUUUUGGCACAAAGAGGAAAAGUUUUGUAAUCCUGAGAGAAGGAAUGGAGAAACAUAAAUGUUGUGUUUUUUGUGAGAACUUUCUCAGUUUUGGUUUUAUCAUUUUGCAUCCUUGAUAUUGUUGUUUUCUCUGUUCACAUUUCUGUUUGUUAGUAUGACAUCUUUCAGCUUGUGUUAGUUUUGUUGUUUCUAGUAAGGUUAAUUUUUUCUCCUGUCCCUGGAAAAAGAAAAAACCUACUUUGAUUUUUCUUUUUCUUUUUCAGAUUUUUAUUAUCAGUUACAUUGUUUUGUUUCCAUUUGUGCCCAGUCAAAAUGACAGUAUGCUAGG